AUUACCCAUUGGCCAAGGAGGCUUUGGCUGUAUAUAUCUUGCUGAUAUGAAUUCUUCAGAGUCAGUUGGCAGUGAUGCACCUUGUGUUGUAAAAGUGGAACCCAGUGACAAUGGACCUCUUUUUACUGAAUUAAAGUUCUACCAACGAGCUGCAAAACCAGAGCAAAUUCAGAAAUGGAUUCGUACCCGUAAGCUGAAGUACCUGGGUGUUCCUAA
This 216-nucleotide unclassified non-coding RNA is filed under the name Hevea brasiliensis (rubber tree). Lineage: Eukaryota; Viridiplantae; Streptophyta; Magnoliopsida; Malpighiales; Euphorbiaceae. The record is from RNAcentral.